RNAcentral lists this ribosomal RNA (762 nucleotides) under uncultured bacterium. Its description in RNAcentral is "bacterial SSU rRNA". It matches the Rfam family "Bacterial small subunit ribosomal RNA", at positions 54 to 854 of the family's 1533-position model. The record is from RNAcentral.
CAUGCAGUCGAAGGAGAAGCAGGACUUCGGUCCUGUGGACACUGGCGAACGGGUGAGUAACGCGUGGGAACCUACCCUGGGGUGGGGGACAACCACUGGAAACGGUGGCUAAUACCGCAUACGCCCUCCGGGGGAAAACUUUUGUGCCCUGGGAUGGUCCCGCGUCGGAUUAGCUAGUUGGUGGGGUAACGGCCUACCAAGGCGACGAUCCGUAACUGGUCUGAGAGGAUGAUCAGUCACACUGGAACUGAGACACGGUCCAGACUCCUACGGGAGGCAGCAGUGGGGAAUAUUGGACAAUGGGGGCAACCCUGAUCCAGCCAUGCCGCGUGGGUGAAGAAGGCCUUAGGGUUGUAAAACCCUUUCAGCGGGGAAGAUGAUGACGGUACCCGCAGAAGAAGCCCCGGCUAACUCCGUGCCAGCAGCCGCGGUAAUACGGAGGGGGCUAGCGUUGUUCGGAAUUACUGGGCGUAAAGGGCGUGUAGGCGGUCUAUCGAGUCAGGCGUGAAAGCCCCGGGCUUAACCUGGGAACUGCGUUUGAUACUGGUAGACUAGAGGUUGGAAGAGGAGAGUGGAAUUCCCAGUGUAGAGGUGAAAUUCGUAGAUAUUGGGAAGAACACCAGUGGCGAAGGCGGCUCUCUGGUCCAUACCUGACGCUGAGGCGCGAAAGCGUGGGGAGCAAACAGGAUUAGAUACCCUGGUAGUCCACGCCGUAACGAUGUGUGCUAGACGUCGGGUGUUCAGCAUUCGGUGUCGGAGCUA